CACCCGGCUGCUGUCCUCAGGGCGCGGCCGGAGCCCGAGCCAGAGCGGAGGAGAGGGUCGAGCGCCGGUUCCCUUUCUCUCCCCCCCUUCCCAGAGAAUGGAGCCUUCCCGCUCCCUCCUUCACCGGCUGAAAAGUCUCUUGUCGCGACGUUCCAAAGCAGAACGGAGGGGGGCUGGACGUUCCACCCGGGAGGCGGAGGACGAGGGGGCUGCGGGGGGCGCCGCCGCCGCCGCCGGUCCCCUCGAAGUCCGGGUGAUCUACGCCGGCCGUCGCUGAACCUACGGCCUGUGCGCUAGGUACCUCGAGACGGAACUCGAGAAAGAAUUUCCGGGCAAGCUGGAAAUAAGACUUGACAGGGCUCCCGGGUUCACAGGAUGGUUCGAAGUGUUUGUCGGAGGGAAGCUGGUGCAUUCCAAGGAGAACGGAGAUGGCUUCGUGAGAAACCCCGAGAAGCUGCAGAAGGUCAUCAUGGCGGUACGAGAAGCCUUGGCGUAAAGAUGGCUGGGAGAAGGCACCCGACAGACCACUAGACAGCAGAGUUCAAAGAAGAAUCUGCUUUGUUCAUUCUAGCGGCACGCUUCAUGAUGGGAACGGCUGAAAUGUCACCCGGCGCGUGGCUGUUCCCUGAAAAACCUUGCGUGGGAUGCUGGCUUGACCACAGUCCAACGGGCAUCUGAACGCUGAAUAUUAUAUGCUUUGACACCUCUGUGCUUUGCAGCGUAGCUACACCUCUGGGGUUGUAUCUUCUGUGUAUGGUCCCUGUGAUGCCGGCUUUCUCUGUAGUCAGGUUUACAUGCGAUGCUGGCUUUCUGUGUAGUCGGGUUUACACGUGAUGCUGCCUUUCUAUGUAGUCGGCAGGGCUAUUUUUGGGCAGGAACGCACAGGAACGGAGUUCCGGGUGGCUCCCGAGUU
Gekko japonicus is the source of this 913-nucleotide long non-coding RNA. RefSeq lists it as uncharacterized. The record is from RefSeq and is a predicted model, not a curated record. The transcript has 7 exons. Lineage: Eukaryota; Metazoa; Chordata; Lepidosauria; Squamata; Gekkonidae.